GGACUACUCGGGUAUCUAAUCCCGUUUGCUCCCCUGGCUUUCGUGCCUCAGCGUCAGGAAAUGUCCAGAGACUCGCCUUCGCCACUGGUGUUCCACUUGAUAUCUACGCAUUUCACUGCUACACCAAGUAUUCCAGUCUCCCCUCCAUUCCUCGAGCCAGGCAGUUUCCAACGCAGUUUCCGGGUUAGGCCCGGAGAUUUCACGUCAGACUUACCCGACCGCCUACGCACCCUUUACGCCCAGUGAAUCCGAACAACGCUUGGGACCUCUGUAUUACCGCGGCGGCUGGCAC
Molecule: ribosomal RNA, 292 nt
Filed under: uncultured bacterium
Lineage: Bacteria
Also listed under: 1 other name
Description: partial 16S ribosomal RNA
Source: RNAcentral